AAUGAACGUUGGCGGCGUGGAUUAGGCAUGCAAGUCGCGCGAGAAAUUUCCUUCGGGAAAUGGACAGCGGCGGAAGGGAGAGGAAUAAGUAGAAAUCUGCCCUCGGGACGGGGAUAGCGGUGGGAAACUGCCGGUAAUACCCGAUAACAUCUUUGGAUCAAAUGGUGUGAUUCCGCCUGAGGAUGAGUCUACUUCCUAUUAGCUAGUUGGUGGGGUAAUGGCCUACCAAGGCAACGAUGGUUAGCGGGUGUGAGAGCACGACCCGCCUCACUGGGACUGAGACACUGCCCAGACACCUACGGGUGGCUGCAGUCGAGAAUCUUCGGCAAUGGGGGAAACCCUGACCGAGCGACGCCGCGUGCGGGAUGAAGGCCCUUGGGUUGUAAACCGCUGUCGUAAGGGAACAAAUCCAUAGGGGUACUCCCCUAUGGUUGAGUGAUCUUAGGAGGAAGGACGGGCUAAGUUCGUG
Molecule: ribosomal RNA, 469 nt
Filed under: uncultured bacterium
Lineage: Bacteria
Description: bacterial SSU rRNA
Rfam family: Bacterial small subunit ribosomal RNA
Source: RNAcentral